UGUUUGUGAAUACAAAAUAUAGCAUUAACAUUAUAAAAAGAAAAUGGCCGACACCUAUCCAGUGCCGAAAGGUCAAAGAAGCUGGUGACCUGAUGACAAGGGAAUCAAAGACCAAAGCCCUGAUGAAUGGCGAUCGUAACUAUAAUGGUCCUAAGGCAGCGAAUUCUUUGUCGGGUAAGUUCCGACUUACAUAAAAGACAUAACGA
Molecule: non-coding RNA, 206 nt
Filed under: Amborella trichopoda
Lineage: Eukaryota; Viridiplantae; Streptophyta; Magnoliopsida; Amborellales; Amborellaceae
Description: Bacterial large subunit ribosomal RNA
Rfam family: Bacterial large subunit ribosomal RNA
Source: Rfam by way of RNAcentral